RNAcentral lists this ribosomal RNA (612 nucleotides) under uncultured bacterium. RNAcentral describes it as "bacterial SSU rRNA". It matches the Rfam family "Bacterial small subunit ribosomal RNA", at positions 338 to 951 of the family's 1533-position model. The record is from RNAcentral.
CCUACGGGAGGCAGCAGUAAGGAAUAUUGGUCAAUGGACGAAAGUCUGAACCAGCCAUGCCGCGUGAAGGAUGACGGCCCUCUGGGUUGUAAACUUCUUUUAUAUGGGACGAAAAAAGGGAAUUCUUUCUCACUUGACGGUACCAUAGGAAUAAGCACCGGCUAACUCCGUGCCAGCAGCCGCGGUAAUACGGAGGGUGCAAGCGUUAUCCGGAUUCACUGGGUUUAAAGGGUGCGUAGGUGGGUAGGUAAGUCAGUGGUGAAAUCUCCGAGCUUAACUCGGAAACUGCCAUUGAUACUAUCUAUCUUGAAUAUUUUGGAGGUGAGCGGAAUAUGUCAUGUAGCGGUGAAAUGCUUAGAUAUGACAUAGAACACCAAUUGCGAAGGCAGCUCACUACGAAAUUAUUGACACUGAGGCACGAAGGCGUGGGGAUCAAACAGGAUUAGAUACCCUGGUAGUCCACGCCCUAAACGAUGGAUACUCGACAUCAGCGAUACACUGUUGGUGUCUGAGCGAAAGCAUUAAGUAUCCCACCUGGGAAGUACGACCGCAAGGUUGAAACUUAAAUGAAUUGACCGGNGNGAGAGAGCGAGACGACGACGAGGGAGGAGG